UACGUAGGGGGCUAGCGUUAUCCGGAAUUACUGGGCGUAAAGGGUGCGUAGGCGGUCUUUCAAGCCAGAAGUGAAAGGCUACGGCUCAACCGUAGUAAGCUUUUGGAACUGUAAGACUUCAGUGCAGGAGAGGAGAGUGGAAUUCCUAGUGUAGCGGUGAAAUGCGUAGAUAUUAGGAGGAACACCGGUGGCGAAGGCGGCUUACUGGACGAUUACUGACGUUGAGGCUUGAAAGCGUGGGGAGCAAACAGGAUUAGAUACCCUGGUAGUCCCUGAGCGGG
This 281-nucleotide ribosomal RNA is filed under the name uncultured prokaryote. Its description in RNAcentral is "partial 16S ribosomal RNA". It matches the Rfam family "Bacterial small subunit ribosomal RNA", at positions 524 to 803 of the family's 1533-position model. The record is from RNAcentral.